RNAcentral lists this ribosomal RNA (499 nucleotides) under uncultured bacterium. RNAcentral describes it as "bacterial SSU rRNA". It matches the Rfam family "Bacterial small subunit ribosomal RNA", at positions 29 to 524 of the family's 1533-position model. The record is from RNAcentral.
AUUGAACGCUGGCGGCAUGCCUUACACAUGCAAGUCGAACGGUAACGCGGGGCAGCCUGGCGACGAGUGGCGAACGGGUGAGUAAUAUAUCGGAACGUGCCCAGUCGUGGGGGAUAACUGCUCGAAAGAGCAGCUAAUACCGCAUACGACCUGAGGGUGAAAGCGGGGGAUCUUCGGACCUCGCGCGAUUGGAGCGGCCGAUAUCAGAUUAGGUAGUUGGUGGGGUAAAGGCCUACCAAGCCGACGAUCUGUAGCUGGUCUGAGAGGACGACCAGCCACACUGGGACUGAGACACGGCCCAGACUCCUACGGGAGGCAGCAGUGGGGAAUUUUGGACAAUGGGGGCAACCCUGAUCCAGCCAUGCCGCGUGCGGGAAGAAGGCCUUCGGGUUGUAAACCGCUUUUGUCAGGGAAGAAAUCCUUUGGGCUAAUAACUCGGAGGGAUGACGGUACCUGAAGAAUAAGCACCGGCUAACUACGUGCCAGCCGCCGCGGUAAU